AUGGCAGACGAUAUUAAUAUUGAAGCAAUGCUUGAGGCUCCUUACAAGAAGGAUGAGAACAAGUUGAGCAGGGCCAAUGGCCAUGAAGAACGUAGCAAAAAGAGGAAAAAAAGCAAGAGCAGAAGUCGUAGUCGUGAACGAAAGAGAAACGAAAGGAACGGAAGCGAAGUACAGAUCGAGAAAGGAAAAAGAGCAAAAGCCGUGAAAGGAAGCGAAGUCAAAGCAGAGAGGCGACUGAGCCGCUCAAGAAGUCAAGAUCAAACAUUUAGAGGCCGCUACAGAAGUCCUUACUCUGGACCAAAAUUUAACAGUGCCAUCUGAGGAAAGACUGGAUUGCCUCAUAGUAUCAAAUUAAGCAUAGGACGUUCCCGAAGAAAAGUCCACUCAGAAAAGACAAGAACCCUGUGAUGGAACCUACUGAUAAUCUAACUCCUGAGGAAAGAGAUGGAAGGACAGUCUUCUGUAUGCAGCUGGCGGCAGGAAUUCGACCAAAGGAUUUGGAAGAGUUUUUCUCUACAGUAGGAAAGGCUCGAGACGUGAGGAAGAUUUCUGAUAGAAAUUUAAGACGUUCCAAAGGAAUUGCUUACGUGGAGUUCGUCGGUGUUAGUUCAGUGCCUCUAGCAAUAGGAUUAACUGGCCAACGAGUUUUAGGAGCGCCAAUCACAGUACGGGCAUCACAGGCAGAAAGAAAAAAACCGAGCUGCAGCCAUGGCAAACAAUGUACAAAAGGGAAGUGCUGGACCUAAGAGGCUUUAUGUGGACUCAUUACAAUUUUAACAUAACUGAAGAUACACUUCGUGGGAUCUUUGAGCCUUUCGGAAGGAUUAAAAGUAUCCAGCUGAUGAUAGACAGUGAAACUGGUCGAUCCAAGGGAUAUGGAUUUAUUACAUUUUCUGAUUCAGAAUGUGCCAAAAAGGCUUUGGAACAAUUUAAUGGAUUUGAACUAGCAGGGAGGCCAAUGAAAGUUGGUCAUGUUACUGAACCAUGCUGAUGCUUCGAGUACUAGUUCAUUUUUGGACAGUGAUGAACUGGAAAGGACUAGAAUUGAUUUGAGAACAACUGGUCGUCUUCAGUUAGUGGCAAGACUUGCAGAGGAUACAGAAUUUUCUUUUGUUAUGGAUUUGCAAACAAGACUUUCCCAGCAGACUGAAGCUUCAGCUUUAGCUGCAGCUGCUUCUGUUCAGCCACUUGCAACACAGUGUUUCCAACUCUCUAACAUGUUUAACCCUCAAACAGAAGAAGUUGGAUGGGAUACAGAGAUUAAGGGCGAUGUGAUUGAAGAAUGUAAUAAACAUGGAGGAGUUAUUCAUAUUUAUAAUGACAAAAAUUCAGCUCAGGGCAAUGUGUAUGUGAAGUGCCCAUCAAUUGCUGCAGCUAUGGCUGCUGUCAAUGCAUUGCAUGGCAGGUGGUUUGCUGGUAAAAUGAUAACAGCAGCAUAUGUACCUCUUCCAACUUACCACAACCUGUUUUCCGAUUCUAUGACAGCAACACAACUACUGGUUCCAAGUAGACGAUGAAGGAAGAUAUAGUCCCUUAUGUAUAUAGCUUUUCUUCUUUCUUGAGAAUUCAUCUUGAGUUAUCUUUUAUUUAGAUAAAAAUAAAGAGGCAAGGAUCUACUGUCAUUUGUAUACAAUUCCCGUUACCUUGAAAAAAUAAAAAUGUUAACUGGAA
RNA transcript from Nomascus leucogenys (northern white-cheeked gibbon), 1671 nucleotides. It is a transcript of the gene named RNA-binding protein 39-like, with no coding region annotated. Lineage: Eukaryota; Metazoa; Chordata; Mammalia; Primates; Hylobatidae. The record is from RefSeq and is a predicted model, not a curated record. The transcript is spliced from 2 exons.